This is a long non-coding RNA of Oncorhynchus gorbuscha (pink salmon), 1513 nucleotides long. RefSeq lists it as uncharacterized. The transcript has 5 exons. The record is from RefSeq and is a predicted model, not a curated record. Lineage: Eukaryota; Metazoa; Chordata; Actinopteri; Salmoniformes; Salmonidae.
AGGAAAUGUGUCAUGCAUCUCAACAAACAACCGCAGGGGAACACCAAUAGGGAGGUUCAUAGUUUGAGGAGGGAGGCCCCAUCAUUGCAGUUCAAGUGGAGAAUGAGUACGGCUCAUAUGCAAAGGAUGAACGAUACAUGCCUUUUAUGAAGGAGCUCUAUCAUCCAGAGGGAUCAAUGAACUCCUACUGAUAUCAGACACCGGGGAGGGGCUACGUUUCUUUUCUUGACCCUUCCUCUCUUAAGUUCACAAGAUGGUAAACCUUCAAAGACUGGCCAACGGAACCAUAUAAUAUUUAGCGUACAUGCAGCCCCAGAAACCUCUGCAUGUAAUGGAGUGCUGGUUUGGGUGGUCCGAUGUCUGGAGUGAAUCUCACCAUGCGUUACCAGCAGAGGAAUUGAACCCACAAUCCUGGCAUUGCAAGUGCCAUGCUCUACCAACUGAGCCACAGUGGACCAUCCAUCCAUCACGCUAAGUACUGUAUGUGGUGACCGUCUAGCAUUGAUUCUCCUCUGGUAGAUAUUUGAAUAUGCGGGAGAUGUCUCCUCUGGUAGACAUGUUGGCUGUGGUGUCACAGAUACUGGAGCCAGGUGUAUCCAUCAACCUCUAUAUGUUCCAUGGUGGAACCAGCUUUGGCUUCAUGAAUGGAGCUGUGGGGAACCUUGGCACCUACAAACCUCAAGUUGGAAGCUAUUCAACCAGUUUCAUGUACUGACAUUUCCCAAAUUUAAAUUUCCUUGCCAAGAAAAAUGUUGUCAUCUUUUUUAUUUUAUUAUGAUGCUCCGUUAUCCGAGGCUGGAGAUUACACCACCAAGUAUCAGCUCUUAAGGAAUUUAUUCAGCCAGUUUCACAGUAAGCUUUCUCUUUCAAACAUUCUCAUACAAUACUAUUUGCGUUUUGGAAAAUAACAGGCACCAUAAUUUAAUUUGUGAAAUUGUCUAGCUUGGAGUGUAUCUGUGUGUCUCAGAUGAGAAGCUUCCUGAGGCUCCCUCUCUCCAGGCCAGGAGAGUGUAUGAGCCUGUCAUCAUUCAGAAGCAUCUGUCACUGUGGGAGAGCCUGCAUUUUACUGACAAGGUAAACUAGGGGUCAAGUAGCAUACUGUCAGUUGUGACCUGGCCUGCUUGGCAAGUUGGCAAUACUCAAGGGUUGAUGUUGAUAUUUAAUUGAAUGCACCACAUUGACAUUUUUCCAUCAUCAAGCCCUUGAAGUCAGAGGGGCCUGUCAACAUGGAGAACAAUAACAAUGGUCAGUCCUAUGGCUACACUCAAUAUGAGACCACCAUCAACAGCAGAGGCCUUCUGAACUCCAAGACAAAUUUUAGAGACUGAGCCCUGGUGAUUACAGACAGAAACAGUGACAUGGCAUGAAUUUACUACAGUAAAAGGUCCACACUGUAUGACAAUACAUCAUUUGUACUAAUAAAGUUGUCUUCUAAAACUGUUUGCAUGUUCUUCACAAAGAGGGCAACAGAUGCUACUGAGCCAGAUGUCUAUGUGUCAGGGGAGAAGCUCCA